GACGAACGCUGGCGGCGUGCCUAAUACAUGCAAGUCGAGCGAACGGACGCGGUGCUUGUUCCUCCUGUGUUAGCGGCGGACGGGUGAGUAACACGUGGAUAAUCUACCUUUAAGCGGGGGACAACUUCGGGAAACCGGCGCUAAUACCGCAUGAUAUUUUUAACCACAUGGUUCAAGAGUGAAAGACGGUAUUGCUGUACUUAAUAGUUGUCUCGCCGCGUCUUUAGUUAGUUGUGAAGUAAACGCGUUACCACGGGAAGGAUGCAAAGCCGACUUAGGAGGUGGAUCGGCAGCACGGGAACGAGAACAGGCACCAGACGCCUACGGGAGGCACCAGUAGGGAAUCUUGCGCAAGGGGGGAAAGCCUGACGGAGCAACGCGGCGGGAGGAAUAAAGUUCUCCGGUGCGGAAAACGCUGUUAUUAGGGAAGAACAUAUUUGGAAGGAACUGUGCACAACGUGACGGUACCUAAUCAGAAAGCCACGGCUAACUACGUG
Molecule: ribosomal RNA, 497 nt
Filed under: uncultured bacterium
Lineage: Bacteria
Description: partial 16S ribosomal RNA
Rfam family: Bacterial small subunit ribosomal RNA
Source: RNAcentral